UACGUAGGGGGCGAGCGUUGUCCGGAGUUACUGGGCGUAAAGCGCACGCAGGCGGUCUGCUAAGUUUGGAGUGACAGUUGGUGGCUUAACUGCCAAAGUGCUUCGAAAACUGACAGACUUGAGGGCUUCAGAGGGACACGGAAUUCCGGGUGGAGUGGUGAAAUGCGUAGAGAUCCGGAGGAACACCAAGGAGGCAAGGCAGUGUCCUGGGGAGUACCUGACGCUCAGGUGCGAAAGCCAGGGGAGCGAACGAG
This 254-nucleotide ribosomal RNA is filed under the name uncultured bacterium. RNAcentral's name for it is "partial 16S ribosomal RNA". It matches the Rfam family "Bacterial small subunit ribosomal RNA", at positions 524 to 776 of the family's 1533-position model. The record is from RNAcentral.